GCAAGGGUGAACUGGGCAGUAAAAAACGCAGAGGAGCCGGGACCUGACUGGGAGACAUAUGAUGUCUGAAUUCUUAAAUCAAGUGAUCAGUACUUCGAGGCAAGACAACAACUAAAUAAGUCGCUGUCAUGCCACACUUCCGACCUGCAGACAGAAGAGGAGGAAGAGGACGUGCGACCCAAGAGGAAGCCAAAGUCAUUUCUUGGGGGAUUCUGAUGAUAGUGAAGACGAACAUCCAAGAAAGAAAUCCAGAAGCCAAUCCAAAACAUCUAUACAGCCACCAGCUCCUGCUAUCCUGCCACCACCAUCUCCUGCUGUUGAACCACCACCAUGCCAACAACAAACCUUGUCUGCAAGCCAGGUGCACACACCUGCCUGGCGAGGGAGAAGGUUUGACUCGGGCACCCUUCCCUGCUCUGCCACAGAAGCCCAGAUUUUGGACUUGCUGGAACAUCUAAAAAAACAGAUGGAGCAACUAGAAGCCAAGGUUAAUUAUUUAACCAGCAAGCUGGAUGCAACUCCCCAGGAAAUGGAGGUGCAGAUUCCGGUCCAGUUGCCAUUAACUUCAGUGGAGGAAGUGAACCCUUUUGAGAACUGGCUCAAAGAUGCUGCACAUUCCCAGCUGAAGCAGAAGUUGAUUUCCUCGCUGGCAGCUUUUGGGGGCCAUGACACCAAACGCAUAACGUGGAACAUCCUGGCACACAUUUUCCACGAUGAUGUUGGAAAGCUGAUUAAUUGGAAAGGUGUCAAUGGGAAGAAGUCUUUCAACCAGAUGUCAUCAAAAACACUGCUCCUGCGUAAGUACCCAUUUUAAAAUGUUCAC
Nothobranchius furzeri (turquoise killifish) is the source of this 823-nucleotide non-coding RNA. NCBI's taxonomy places the organism in Eukaryota, Metazoa, Chordata, Actinopteri, Cyprinodontiformes, Nothobranchiidae. The record is from RefSeq and is a predicted model, not a curated record.